AUACUUGGGUAAUUGAGAAUAUAUUGUUGAACUGUGUGUCAUAGCUUGCUAAGGCAAACUAUAUUUUUAUACUGUAAUCACUAGCAGAGGUGUUUGUAAAGAACUUGGGCUUGGGCUUACAUUGGUGAACACUUUUGGUUGUGAGUGAAGCAUGCAUAGUGGGGAUAUAGUUGGGAGAUGUAAUGAGUUGUGGGCAGUCACAUAACGUUCUUGAGAGAGAAACUGUGUGUUAAGAUAUUGUGAAAUAUUUUAUUCUGUAUAACUCUGGGUUGAUGACAACCUGUAUUUGUGUAUUGGGUCCUGGUGAUGACGAACGUAGAUGAUGUAUUCUGGGAGUUGGCGAAGAGCGAGUCUGGUGAAUGGCGGUGGUGAUAAUGGUGAACAGAGAAGAUGAUCAGUGAAUGAUCGUGACGACGGGGUCAAUGAUUUUGACGAACGGCGAAGGUGAUCUGAGUGACCCUGACAAAGAGUGUGGAUGAUUCUGGUGAAUUAUGGUGGUAAUAAUGGUGAACUGAGAAGAUGAUCUGUGAAUGAUCCUGACAAAAAUGAUGGUGGUAAUAAUGGUGAAUGGAGGAGAUGAUCAGUGAAGGAUCGUGAUGAGGGUACCAAUGAUUCUGGUGAACGGAGAUGAUCAGUGAAUGACCGUGACGAGGGGGUUAGUGAUUCUGGUGAACGACAGGGGUUUUAAUAGUAAACGACAACGGUGAUCAGUGAAUGAUCAUUAUGAGGUGUGAUGAUUCUAGUGAAUGAUAAUGAUAAUGGGGAAUGGUGAAUGAUCAUGACAAGGGUGAUGAUGAGGGUGACUUAUGAUGAUGAAUUGUGAAAUGUGAUGAAUAGUGGAAGACAGACAUUUUAGUAUUAUUUUGUGGUUAAAAGAUUUUUACUCUAUUUAAUAGUGAUUCAUAGUUUAAUUUACAUGUGAUAUGUGUUACAUGCGUGAAAGUGCAAUAUGUAUUGGUUGGGAGGGAAGUGUUAUGUAAAUAAAUGUGUAUGAAUGA
This is a long non-coding RNA of Gigantopelta aegis, 998 nucleotides long. RefSeq lists it as uncharacterized. The transcript is spliced from 2 exons. The record is from RefSeq and is a predicted model, not a curated record. Lineage: Eukaryota; Metazoa; Mollusca; Gastropoda; Neomphalida; Peltospiridae.